GCUGGAGUGGUCUAGUUGGUCAUGACGACUCGUUUACACCGAGUAGGGCGCGGGUUCGACUCCCGCUUUCAGUA
This 74-nucleotide transfer RNA is filed under the name Gammaproteobacteria bacterium. RNAcentral's name for it is "tRNA-Val". It matches the Rfam family "tRNA". From Rfam's summary of the family: Transfer RNA (tRNA) molecules are approximately 80 nucleotides in length. Their secondary structure includes four short double-helical elements and three loops (D, anti-codon, and T loops). The record is from RNAcentral. Lineage: Bacteria; Pseudomonadati; Pseudomonadota; Gammaproteobacteria.